RNAcentral lists this microRNA precursor (182 nucleotides) under Oryza glumipatula. RNAcentral's name for it is "MIR812 microRNA precursor family". It matches the Rfam family "MIR812 microRNA precursor family", at positions 27 to 202 of the family's 205-position model. The record is from Rfam by way of RNAcentral. Lineage: Eukaryota; Viridiplantae; Streptophyta; Magnoliopsida; Poales; Poaceae.
AAUAAUGUUUAACCGUUAGUCUUAUUUGAAAUUUUUUUAUAAUUAAUAUUUUUAUUGUUAUUAGAUGAUAAAACAUGAAUAAUACUUUGUGUAAAUAAUUUUUUUAACUUCUAUAAAUUUUUCUUAUUUUUUAAAUAAGAUGGAUGGUCAAACAUUGGACACGGAUACCUAUAGCUGUACUU